This 498-nucleotide ribosomal RNA is filed under the name uncultured bacterium. RNAcentral describes it as "partial 16S ribosomal RNA". It matches the Rfam family "Bacterial small subunit ribosomal RNA", at positions 30 to 523 of the family's 1533-position model. The record is from RNAcentral.
AUUGAACGCUGGCGGCAUGCCUUACACAUGCAAGUCGAACGGUAACAGGUCUUCGGAUGCUGACGAGUGGCGAGCGGGUGAGUAAUACAUCGGAACGUGCCUAGUAGUGGGGGAUGACUACUCGAAAGAGUGGCUAAUACCGCAUGAGAUCUACGGAUGAAAGCAGGGGAUCGCAAGACCUUGUGCUACUAGAGCGGCCGAUGGCAGAUUAGGUAGUUGGUGGGAUAAAAGCUUACCAAGCCGACGAUCUGUAGCUGGCCUGAGAGGACGAUCAGCCACACUGGGACUGAGACACGGCCCAGACUCCUACGGGAGGCAGCAGUGGGGAAUUUUGGACAAUGGGCGAAAGCCUGAUCCAGCAAUGCCGCGUGCAGGAUGAAGGCCUUCGGGUUGUAAACUGCUUUUGUACGGAACGAAAAGCCCCGGGUUAAUACCCUGGGGUCAUGACGGUACCGUAAGAAUAAGCACCGGCUAACUACGUGCCAGCCGCCGCGGUAA